Molecule: ribosomal RNA, 489 nt
Filed under: uncultured bacterium
Lineage: Bacteria
Description: bacterial SSU rRNA
Rfam family: Bacterial small subunit ribosomal RNA
Source: RNAcentral
AUUGAACGCUGGCGGCGUGCCUAACACAUGCAAGUCGAGCGGUAACAGGUGUAGCAAUACAUGCUGACGAGCGGCGAACGGGUGAGUAAUGCUUCGGAAUCUGCCCAUGUAGUGGGGAAUAACCAGCCGAAAGGUUGGCUAAUACCGCAUACGACCCUUGCCCACAAGGCAAAGGUGAAAGCAGGGGAUCGCAAGACCUUGCGCUAUUGGAUGAGCCGAAGUCGGAUUAGCUAGUUGGUAGGGUAACGGCCUACCAAGGCGACGAUCCGUAGCUGGUCUGAGAGGACGACCAGCCACACUGGGACUGAGACACGGCCCAGACUCCUACGGGAGGCAGCAGUAGGGAAUCUUGCGCAAUGGGCGAAAGCCCGACGCAGCCAUGCCGCGUGAAUGAUGAAGGUCUUAGGAUUGUAAAAUUCUUUCACCGGGGAAGAUAAUGACGGUACCCGGAGAAGAAGCCCCGGCUAACUUCGUGCCAGCAGCCGCCGU